CCUACGGGAGGCUGCAGUGGGGAAUAUUGCACAAUGGGGGAAACCCUGAUGCAGCGACGCCGCGUGAGUGAAGAAGUAUUUCGGUAUGUAAAGCUCUAUCAGCAGGGAAGAAAAUGACGGUAACUGAUUAAGACGCCCCGGCUAACUCCGUGCCAGCAGCCGCGGUAAUACGUAGUGGGCAAGCGUUAUCCGGAUUUAUUGGGUUUAAAGGGUGCGUAGGCGGAGUGUCAAGUCAGCUGUAAAAUUUCGGGGCUCAACCCCGUCGUGCCGUUGAAACUGACACCCUUGAGUGAGUGAGAAGUAAGCGGAAUGCGUGGUGUAGCGGUGAAAUGCAUAGAUAUCACGCAGAACGCCGAUUGCGAAGGCAGCUUACCGGCGCUCAACUGACGCUGAGGCACGAAAGUGCGGGUAUCGAACAGGAGUAAUACCCUAGUAGUC
This 438-nucleotide ribosomal RNA is filed under the name uncultured bacterium. Its description in RNAcentral is "partial 16S ribosomal RNA". It matches the Rfam family "Bacterial small subunit ribosomal RNA", at positions 338 to 795 of the family's 1533-position model. The record is from RNAcentral.